Ictalurus punctatus (channel catfish) is the source of this 979-nucleotide long non-coding RNA. The record is from Ensembl. NCBI's taxonomy places the organism in Eukaryota, Metazoa, Chordata, Actinopteri, Siluriformes, Ictaluridae.
CAGCACAACAACGUGACGUCACGAUCUUCCUGUUCGGUAUUUAACUCGUCCUGACGCACAGAGCCGAGCAGACCGACACUUCACAACAGCAGUCGCUUGUAAAGUGAACAAACUCCAGAAACAUGAAGAGCACAGUCUGGUUGUUUUGCCUCAUUGGCCUGACCUGGGCUGUCCACGCUGAAACGGAUCUCCACCGUGAGGAUCGCUCGAUCUCCAACUCGGACUCUGAUGAGAGGAAUCCCUUCAUUCCCUUUCUGAACACACUGACCCAGGAACAGUUCUAUCAGCUCCUGCAGAAACUGUUCUUAGUCCCCGUACCUGCUCCCGUUCCUGCUCCUGUUCCUGCUCCCGUUCCUGCUCCACCUCCAACCGCAGCACCACCUUCUGCCCCAGUGACCGCUGGCGUGGGGAAAUAAACUCCUGGUUCUCAUUUCACACCCCCACAGUGCUCCUACUGGAUUUCUAGAGUAAAAUCGCAACUUCAGUAAACACAACGGCAAGUUUCAUCUCGACUGAGUCUUUGUUCUAAAGUGUUUACGCAGUCGAGAUGUACUCUCUUCUGCACGUACGCUUUAGAUCCUAAAAACGCUUCUGCACACGCCUGAUAAUCUGAUCAAUAUUAUAUUCACUUACAGAAGUGUAAACACCACGUCUGAUCUGAGUUCCAAACUGAAAUUUGAAUAAAAUUGUGCCAUCAUGGGUCAGAAAUUGUAUUUAACUGUGUUACUGCUUUCUGUAGAAACCAGCACGGACACGUGAUUAAUUCUUUCUUCUGUUAAGUUUGUUAAAUUCGUCACCGGGCUUUUAAAGGCUUUACUCUACAAAUCCGAUCAACAUCUAAUAAUGUUUCAGCUUCGUGUGUGCAAUGAAAUGAGAAUAAACACAGACGAUGAUAAUAAAGAUGAUAAAGAAUAAAUUAAAAUGGUUGUCUUUGUGUGGUUUUAUAAGUUAUGAGGACUGGGUGAACUGAAGACGGUAA